Non-coding RNA from Osmia lignaria (orchard mason bee), 2365 nucleotides. The record is from RefSeq and is a predicted model, not a curated record. Lineage: Eukaryota; Metazoa; Arthropoda; Insecta; Hymenoptera; Megachilidae.
AGAAAUUUUUGUACAUUUUGGGACUACGUAUGCGCUAUUCGAUACUGAGCAUGCGCUAUUUAAUACUGCGCAUGCGCUAUUCGAUACUGCGCAUACACCGAACCUAACCUAAUCUAACGUAACCUAAUCUUACCACAAUGUCUCGAAAACGAUAAGACAUUCAGCUCUGAAACCAACUUUAAUCGGUUUCUUGAAGUCAAUUUAGGUUAUAUACCGAACCUGAGUUCUCAAUUUUGGUAGGGCCCCAUUCGGAAACACAGCCUAUUUCUCAUAUCAAUUGGUACAACAUAUUUAUAUGAAGUAGGAUCUUUUUUUAAAAAAGAAAUAUAAAACAAAAUUUUUAUUGGAACUAAAUGCACGUUUAAAAUGAACUCUUGAACAGCAGAGUCUCAAACUUACAAAUUAUAUACAAUGGUAUUAACCUAAAAAUAAAUGUAUUAUUUGUAAACGGAAGAGUUUCAUAUAUUGGUAAAAUAAUUUUUAAGUAAAAGAGUUUCGUUAUUGGUACAAUAAUUUUUAAAGGAACAGUAUAAAAUUUAGAAAAAUUAAAAUAAUAUGAAGUACAAAACUAAAUUAAAAUUGGCACUCUCUUCAUGGUUCGCUGUACGAGGGUUGAGUAAAGUAGAAUUAAAUACACAGAAACUGGUUUUCAUUAAAAAAGCACAAAUAUUACAUUGAAUUAUCAUCCUUUUUUUAAAUACAAUUAUUUUAUUACAAACAAAAAUAUAUGAUAAUAGUGUAAUUAAGUGUAUUAUCUCUUAAUUUUCUACGUAUAGGAAUUUUAAUAUUUUUGAUACUUUCCUUGGUAGUACUAACAUUUUUUAAUUUUGCUUUUAAGGUACAUUUAUGAAAAGGUUGAGAACCGCUGAUUUAAAUAAUGAUAAUUUUGUUUACCUGAAAAAACAAAUUUUUAUUGUCCCACGUUAAAAAACUAAAUGAAUAAAAUUGCUGAAUGCGAGAGUAACUAAUUUAUCACCUUUACAAUAUAAAUUAAAUACCUAAUAAUUACUGCAUAAUGUAGUAAAAGAUCACACUUUUGAAUCGCAAGGGGGAAAGAAUUCAUAUACAGUAGAAUUCCAAUAAUUUGGCAUACUCGGAAUUUUGGCAAUGUCACACUAAUGAACUUCCACUUUAAUUUGGUAAAAAUGAGGAAAUUAUUAAAAAGAAAUUUUUAUCAGUACGAUUUGCUAGCAGAAUUAAAAUAAAUACAUAAAAAUAAUUUAAUUUUAUUAAUCUAUUUUCAUAGUCUAAUUACUAUGAUACAAUAGAACAUAAAGCUGUUAAAUUAUUAUAAAUAAUGUUAAGGCUGUAUUUAAAAAAAAAUCAUUCCAGAGAAUAUAUAAAGAAAAAGAAAAAAAAAAUAACCUUCACAGGGGAUAGUAGUGGUGGGGACAAAGCGCGCCCACGUAUUGGACGCCGGAUUAUCGGAACUCUACUGUACGUCAGAGCAGCGUGAAAUAAUCAUCAGAGAGACAUCAUUGAUCGCGUGUAAAAAUUAGCCACGCGUUCAAGCGACUCUGUUUAACAUAAUGUGUAAUAGAAUCGGUAACACGAUCCACGGCUGCUUUCAGAUCCCUUUGUCGCCGUACAUUUUUGCGCGAAACUCGCCUUGUUGUGCGCAUUGUUUCCUACAGACUUUCACGUCUUUGUGACUGCGUUGUGAUUCACGCGAUACAUAUUCACGAUACGAAACCCGAGCUAAGCGGUUUUUCUUUUUUUUUUUUUCACUUCGCAAACUUCUCGUCUCCGUUGGGAUGAACUUUGAUGGUCCGUUCAUCGUGCACACACGAUAGAUUCAUGUUUGGCGAGUAAACAAAACUUUAUCUAAUUCCACGUUUCUUCAUGAUAAUGAUUUAGAGUAGUUGGUCAGUCAUCGACACGAGAUUCGCUAUCGCUUCGAGCCGUGACUUUCUAUUCUUUGGCAUGAAGUAUGUAAGUAGUUGUGACGAGAAAAGAAUGAAGGAAGCAACGAGUCAAAGUGUCCCCGGAAGGUGAAUUUUCUGAUUUCGUAAUAGGGCGUUGAUUUAACCCUUUGAUUGUUAUGGAAUAUUUAUAAAUAUUCGAUUAAUGUUUUCCUUUUGGUUAUGGUUGACAUCUUUUCAUUAUAAUAUAUGCUAGCAGGAUGAAAGAAUAUUAAUACAUUACCAAGCUCGGUAAGCUCCCCAAGGAGAAUGACAAUGUGAGGGAGGUGGCCUCAAAUAUAUGGAAGCCUGUGGCCCUAUCACGUGCGUGUAAACGUUUGCGCGGGACAAUUUGAAUUGAUAUUUAUGUUAUUCAUAUUUUACAGUUAUAUACUGAAUUAUAUAAUGUUCAAAAUAUUAAAAUAUUUUUGAUAUAGUAUAAAUUACUAUAAUAUAUUAUGUUA